Marasmius oreades (fairy-ring Marasmius) is the source of this 95-nucleotide non-coding RNA. Lineage: Eukaryota; Fungi; Basidiomycota; Agaricomycetes; Agaricales; Marasmiaceae. The record is from the annotation of a RefSeq genome assembly.
UCCCUCUUAGCUCAGUGGUAGAGCGCUUCACUAGUAUCUACAAUAGAUACGGUUUAACCAUGAAGAGGUCAGUCGUUCAAGUCGGCUAGAGGGAA